This is a long non-coding RNA of Pseudopipra pipra, 11162 nucleotides long. RefSeq lists it as uncharacterized. The transcript is spliced from 3 exons. The record is from RefSeq and is a predicted model, not a curated record. NCBI's taxonomy places the organism in Eukaryota, Metazoa, Chordata, Aves, Passeriformes, Pipridae.
UCAGCAAGAACAACAAAUUAUGACACAUUACUAACAGUAGAAUAUAAAAAUAAGGAUUUACCUCCUCUAGGAGAUGGAAAGCAUCAGGUCCAGGCAUCAGGCAUCUCUGUAGGGAUGAAGUGGGUCCUAAGUCCAGCUGGCAAGUCAGUCCACAGGUUGGAAUCAGGUCCAGGGAAAGCAUCCAGGCUAAACUUGCUUGACUACAUCCAGAACAGCAGGGUUUAAGGCCAUGCUGGAUAUACUGAGGUAGAGACUACUGUUUCUGCAACUGAGCUUACAAAACAAGAAAAACUUCCCGCCAGGUGGAACUUUAUAUAGAGUCCCAGCCCGUGGGUGGGGAUGCUCAGCUGAGGCCAGUCAGGGCCACCAAAGCUUAUAAAGACACUCAGAGGCCCAGGAAGGGCUUAUGAAGAGGUGGAACAGGAAAAGGUGGGCCUGUGCUCUAGGGUUGGUUGCUAAAAAGGAAGCUAAAAUGAAAUAAUUGUUGCAGUUACGUAUAGUAUAAAACCUAAAAAAUAAUCCAGAGUAGUGAGACAAUAUAAAUGUUUUUUCACCUUAAAUAAUAUGUGUGAAAAAACAACAGGAGCUUUAGAAAAGUUUCUCUGUCCCUGAAGAGGUAAUGCUAUAAUGCAUAGUAGUCUCUCAAGGCUUCAAGAUUCUUUUAUUUGAGCAAAGGAAGAUGAAGAAAAAGCAUGGCAGAGGUAAGUAGCAUUCACUGAUAAAUACCUGUUCUAGUUGUAGUAAUAUCAGAAUAUAUGCCAUUAAGGAGGCUUGAAAUCAGCUUAUUCAGGCUUUUUGUAUGGACUAUGUAUAAGUGUGUGGAACCUUCUGUGGUGUGACCUGAACACACCAAAGACACAGUUUCUCUAAAGCAAAUUGACAGAAGGAUGGUGAUUGGAGACUAAUAAAUGCAGUAACCUGGGUAUAACAUAUAAAAGCCCUUAAAUGCUGCUGGAAGCUCAGUGAGUGCCCCAGGGCCAGGGUCCUGUUCUUCCACCAUCACAGUGACUAUUUUUCUGCUGUCAAACUACCAGCUUUAGGUGUUGCCAAUAACUCGGGGACAGCUUGAUGUAUAAAAUGAAGGCAUUAUUCAGCAGUCUGUGCUGACAGCUAUCUUUAAGCAGCACAUUUAUCUAAAGUACAGUGAUGCUUCAAUAGUGGAUACCUGUAGAGUGCUUCCAAGGCUCUAAAAUGAGCUGGAUAUUAUCUGCAGGAUGGCUAUGGCUUACAGCUUAUUUGGACACGGGUUUUUUUUUGCUGCAAUGGGCCAUUUUCUGCUAUUACCAGCGAAAUAAGCUUAAAACCCACUUCUUUUCUUCUGCAACGCGAAGCUGUGCGUGAUGUGAUGAAUUUGCAAAGCUUUUAAAGGAUGGACGGGAGUUAAAUAACUUCCUCCAGGGCCUAAGGCGCUGCCGAGCAGGACUGGGAGUCGCUGCUGCACCCAAGGCAGGCUGAGGAGGGGCAUUGCAGCAGAGGAAGCUCUGUGAACCGGAGGCAGCGCUGAAGCAGCUUGUGUAGCCGGAGUUUGUGAUGCUGGAACAGCAGGGCACAGCACAGACAAAUUGCAGCGCUGUCAGAUGAAACUGUUCGGCUGUGGUGACUCCACAGUCCGUUGUAGCUCAGGUUUCUCUCGUUAAGCUUCAAAGAGUCACAGACGGCUCGUUAGCGGAGAUUCGGGUUCCUUUUGUUUGCAGCGAGUCUCAUAAAGGAAACAGUGUCUGCAAUCGACCCUCCUGGGACCGAGCCGGGUUGAUGCAGGGUCGGGAGCACACUCCUUCUUUCCAGGCAGAAAUGCCUGGGAAUGUGGUGGGCUAGGGGGAGGGAAGACAGGAGAGCAGUGUCCUUUCCUUGCUGAUCACUGCUGGAGGCAGGAUGGGCUGGGGAAUUCGUUCCCUGUUCAAAACACGCACAGCAAACCUUUAUUCUGUCACCUUUCUCGUUUUGGACCUCAUGUCAGAUCAGACCUUUCUGUCAAGCUGCUCGGAUACCUGCCAGAGCUGUAACUUCCUGGAGUUUGGAAGUGUGUUUUGUGCUGGUUUUGGAGUUUGUUUUUAGAAAUUUUAGGAAUAGGAAGAAAAGGCCAGUGGGGACUGGUGCAGGAAGGAUAGGUGAGACCUGUGUGGCUGUGGACAGUGGUUGAGCUGCAGAGUCACCUCUGGAUGGCUUUUUGUGGCAACCUCACAGAAGGUAAGUGAGCAGGAAGGGCAGACUGAUGCAAGGGAAGAAUUCGGCAUCCGAGUCUGGGCUUUCCACUACUGCUGUUGAAAUAACUCAGGACCAGACCAGCUCCUGGGUAUUCCUGUAUUCUACAUCCCUGAGUGUGCUGGGUGGUGGCUAUAUAAAUAUUUCUGUGGAGCUAAGCUGUUACUUAAGGAUUAAAAUACCAUCAAAUAAGUAAAAAAAUUAUUUUAACACCUUCAGAGGUGCCCAGAGGGGGAAAAUGCAAAUGAAGGCACAUCAGGAUCCACUAAUCCACUUCUAAAGUAUUAUCCCAGCACAUUAUUCUUUAAGAACACAAGCCCUUUGGUAAGGGAAGGAGUGGGGGUUUGUGACAUUGCCAUUAAGCACUUCACAAUCCUGGCCUUGCAGUACCCAACGAGGAGUUAAUGACUCCCUGGCUCCAACCCAAUGAAAGGAGAUUAAAAAGGGUGAGGGGAAAAUAGGAUUUCUUGAUUCAAUAUUUUUGUUUCUUAGAGAAGCAGGACUCUGGAGACUUCUGUGCCAGGGGCCUAAUUGCACACAAAACCCUGCUUCUACAAAAUAAAGGAGCUUUGCUGAAAUAUUCUGAGGAAUCUGCUCCAUGCUUACCCCUUCUAGUUUGGAGAGUGCUUCAACAUGGGCAUGGAUAUUUUCUUCCUGGCAAUACUGGGAAAUGGAGGAGACAGAGGAAAAAAUAGAGAAAUCAUAUUCCUGGUAGGGACUUGAAAGGCAGACAGAUUCUUGGGAAGCAGCAGAUUAUGGGGAAUAGAGGGAAUUUUUUUUCUUGAAAAAUCCAUUCCCACACCAACCUGCAAGGAGAGGGAGGAAAGAAGACAGAUCUACUAGAGGUCUUGCACCUUGUCUUGAGGCAUGAUCUGCAUGCUGAGGAGGGCUUUUAUUUCAGUGUGACUUUCCAGAGCUGCCUUGAAGAUGUUUAGAUGGGAUAUUGGGAAGAAAUCCUUCCCUGUGAGGGUGGUGAGGCCCUGGCACAGGUUGCCCAGAGAAGCUGUGGCUGCCCCAUCCCUGGAAGUGUUUGAGGCCAGGUUGGAUGGGGCUUGGAGCAACCUGGGCUAGUGGAAGGUGUCCCUGCCCAUGGCAGGGGAUGGAAUGAGAUGGACUUUAAGGUAUUUUCCAACCCAAAGCUUUCUGUGACUCUGUGUCCCCAACAAUGGCCUUGAUGCCAUGUCAACUGCUUUGCUGCUUGUGAGCAUCUUCACCUCCUCUCUCUCUGCUCCAGCUGCAGUUCAUGUUGUGGCUUGUGCUGCUCUUCGGAGCCAGCUCAUAUUUUGUGUCAUUCCCAGCUGCCACUGUCACCUGAGAUCAAAGGUAUACCCACCACCCCAUGCAGAAGCUGCUCUGCUCAGAGAAGCCCAGAGCUGCUCAGGCUGGAGGUGUGUUUGUCAUUUUAUUUAUAGCAAGUGGGAACUUGAGGCCAGUGGCCAAACACUGUAUAUAUUUAAAAUACAUGGAUGGCACAGCAGACAAACAUGCCAUUCAUUUCUGGAAGGUACAAUAUAUUUCUAAGCCAUAGGAAUCCCCCUGCCCUCAGGGAUGUGCUGUGGGAAGGAGGGCAAUCCCCUCCCCUCUGCCCCAGCACAGAGCUUUGAUGUAGUGAAGUGAAACCUUCUGCUAAGUAGGGACUUGUGUUUGAUGCUGACUUUACAAGCAGGAGUACAUUAACUCCAGGCUGUAUUGGAAAUGUCACUCCUGUACUGUUCAGGCAGCCUCCUCUGUGGAGCAGGGGGAGGAGGGUGGUAUGGAUCAAGGUGUAGACAUGAUUCCUGUAGCCUGUCCCGUCCUCUGCUGCUGUCUCUGCAUGGAUAUCAGGACACAGCUUUAUCUCUAUGGCUUUCUCUGGGGCCACUUCUGUAUUUCAGAGGAGCAGAGAACUUGGCAAUUCAGCUGGCAGCUGCUAUGGAAAAUUCCACAAGUUGGACACCCCCACUACAGCUCCCUGGACAAGGCAGAGUGGCACAGACCCUGCCCCUCACAGCCAGAGUUGCUGUCCUGGAGCCCAUCAGGGGAGGCACACAUGGACACUGAGCUCAGCUCCUCUUUGGUGAGACAGCUUUGUGUUGGUGCCUGCCCAGGAUGCUUCCCAGGGAGGGGAACAGGGAAUUCACUCCUCACUGCGUGUGGCCCGUGGGCUCUCAGCUCUGAACAGGUUCACCAGGAAUGUCAAAAUUCUUUGUAGAAACUUUGUGUUGAAGAGUGUUGAAGCUCAUACUGCAUCUGUGUGGGUUUAGCUUAUAAGAGUUGCCUUUCCUGCAGCCCCUUACAACUUCCUACUGAUGAAAUUCAGCAGGUCAGGGCUGUUCACUGAAUCUCUCCCUGGUUAUAUCCCACCUGGAUGCUGUGCAGUCCUCACCUCCAUGGUACCUGCAUGCUUUCCCCUGCUUAGAGGGAGGGAAAAUCAAGGUGCAAACCUGAAAUGAUCCCCCCAGCUUAUACAGAUGUGUGCAGAAGAGACAAGAUGCCAGGUUUUUUUGACAGCUGAACACACAGGUUUGGGAUUACACUCCACGUGCUGCCCUUUGAGCAGCUGCUGCUGCCACUUACCCUGGUUGAAUCCGUGUCCCGUGGUCAAGAACCAGCAAGAUUGUGCCACAGGUGUUUGAUGUCCUUGUAAAACACCUUCAGGGAUCUGCCACAGCAUCUGCUUGAAGACCUGGGACACAAGUAAACUCUGUUGAGCUGGUAUGUGGAAGUUUGGUUUAAUAGUUUUUACAUCUUGUAACAGCCCACUGUUUGAAAGUCCCCUUUCUCCCCAAGCAUCCCACUCUGGCAGUGGUGCCAGGGCAAGAGAAAAAAGUAAUCUGAGUUUGCAAGGCAGUGGUUCAGGCAGAACAAAAACCUUGAACAAAGGGACAAAAGUCUUUGCAAUUUUGGAAAACAAAGACUCUGUAUCCUCACCUUCUGAUCAAGGACACACUCUGCUGCCACAGCUUUAGUGCCAGUCACACCACUUACUCUGUGUCCCUGCCAGAAAACCCGCAUUGGAUGGGUGUCAGGAGAGAAAUCACAUAGCCCUGCUGUUCUCUCUGAAUUAAACAUUUCAUUUCCCUGUGUUUUCCGGAAGAACUGUGAACAGCUCAUGCUAUUUCUAGUAACAGUCCACUUAGCAAUCGCAUUAACUGCAUGUAUUUAUCUCCUUCAUCUUUUGAAUGUGACUCCUCCAUCAGCAGAGCUCGGCAACCCUCACCCACAUCCACCACCGCGAUGCCGAGGCUUGGUGGGGGCAACCUCCGUGGCACGAACCUCACUCUCCACCCACAGUGCCCGAUGAGGGACCUCGAGCCCAUUCCCAAACUCUUGCAUUCCUGCAUUUUCUUACCUCCUUCACCUUGCACGAGGGCCGAAGGCUGGGGAAGUUGCAAGCGGCAAAGCACCUGGUGGGCAGGAGAUGGCAGCAACAGCCCAGCAACCGCUUUGCCUCACCGGGACGGGGCUUCCUUUCGUCGGGAAUACCGGAGCGUUUUUGCAGAGGAAAGGAGUCGUUUUCACACCUUUGGACUUCGGAAUUGUGAUCAAGGCACAGGAGACGCCGCUCCCAGACUGGAAAAUCAAAGGAGGUGGCUCAGCGUGAAGGAUUUGGUGCGAGGAGGAGCACAUAAGCAUCACCCGUGCAGUGAAAGAUGUUUGUUCUUCCAGUCUAUGUUGGUCAUUACCGGAGACAUUUGAGGAUUGUAGCUCCUGGGUGCAGGUACAUGAGGCCCGGCAGAUUUUAAGCAUGGUUUUCCUGACACAUGGGAUGUUGUCCCGUGGGAGUUGGUAGAAAAGGAGCAGCAUACAUUGAGGAGCAUUGUGGUGCUGGGACAGUUUUGUGCUAUGCUUCAGUUUGGGAUAUUUGUUCUUUUAGUCUUUGAUAAUUAUAGGAGAUUUGUGUGGAUUUGAGCUCCUGAGUGAGGUAUGUGAGGCCCUGUGGAUUUUAAGUUGGACAUCCCCUUUCCCCAGUGCAAAUAAUUUGGAAAAAUAAAAAACACACUUUCAGAGCUCUGCUCUUUCAAGGGCAUGGGAGAUAGGUCCUGAACACGCCACAGUGGUGGGGGUGCGUGCUGGGAUGUGCUGGCAGAUACUGGAAGUGACAUGUGGGAUGGGAGUGAGGUCUGAACAUCAUGCUACCUUGCAUCAUGGUUUUAAUCUUCCUCCUUCCUUAUGUCUUCUACACCUUUUGCAACCUGCACGUAACCUUUGUUUGCAUGUCCUGUUCUUAGGCCGCUUCGCUAGGAUGGGAUUUACAACAUCCUCCAGCUCUGCUGCUGCUUCUCCACCUGGAUGUUUUGGACAUGUCACUUGUGUAAGUUCAGUGUCCACACUUGUAAAAAGGAGGCAAGGACCCUCUUCUCUGUAAAGAUCCUGGAGAGGGACUGAGUAUCUCAUUCCUGUCACUGCGACCUGCUCCUGGGUGAAGAUGCACCAUGGCCAUCAACCCUGUGGGGCAGGCUCUGCUCCCACGAGGCUCCCAGGAUGGAAGGACAGGAGCAACCAUCCAUCAAGGCACAUUGUCACCAGCCCGGCAGACAGCAAGCACCAAGUGUGGAGAGGACAAGCUCUCACAAGUCCACAUUUUUCUGUGGAAUUGCCCUGGUUCCUGUUUCAUGGGACAGCAGCCUGGCCUCGACUUGACAGAGUAGGACAGGGUAGCUUGAAAGGGGCUGUCGAGGGAAGAACAGCUGAGAGCUACAACGAUCCCAGUGUGUGUAUAAAUAGAGACAGGGCUGUUAUCCUGAUGAAAUGAGACCAGAUGUUUCUCCCAAAUCCCUGCUCUCUGCUAGUGAAAAUUAUAGUUUAGUUACAGCAGGGCGAAGCGGGCAGCAAAAUGUUUUAGACCUACUGAUGUUGGGAAGUCAAAGGGGAAAAAUGCCCCACUGGGGCGGGGGAUAUCAUGCCCUGUGAUGCAGGGAUGGAUUGGGGACGGUCAGAGUGGGUGAGAGCUGGAGGAGCCCCUCGCUGCCUUUGUUCUAUUUUGCUGCUUCCUAUCCCGGUAUUAACGGGCUGAGUUUAAAGCCCAUGCUGCGACUGCCUUUUGUGAGGUAGAAAUUCAGUGUCAGCACAUGUAUCCUGGAGGCAGUUGGCAUGAGAUGAAGGAGGGAUGGCAGCAGCAGUUAAAACUGGGCCUUGGCUCUUUAAUAUUUAACUUUCCCCAGUGCUGUUUUUUUUUUUUUUAAUCAGUUUGUGCAUUAUCUGCCAUCCCCGUUCAAAGAGGGUUUUAGCACAGAGAUUUCAGUGCUUAAUCCCAGGGGCAGGGAAAGCGGAAGAGUCUCUCUGAAGGUUCCAGGGCUCAGUCUGGCCUCAAUUACACCAGCCUAAAUCAGCAAAGAGUGGCCACGACGGACUUUGAUGUGACCGCGUCGGGCUGGAGGUAACAAAAUUAGGAGUAAGUCCCAUAUCUGUCCAGGAGAUGCCUCUGGUCCCUAAGGCCCCAUCCACAGGGAGUUCCCAGGAGGAUAUAAGCAUUGCCUGGCUGGCUCAGAAUAAACGUCCACCUUGGGCAACAACCAGUGCCUGGCCGUGGCCAGCUGCAGAUGCUUAGGAAGGGAUAUCGGAAGAGGGAGAGUAUAAAGUGAUCCUUCCUCCGGCAUAUCCUCCCAGCUCCUGGUAAUCAGCAGUUGAGGGACUUCCUAAGCCGGAGGUUGCAUGAAUUUGUGUAAUCCCUUUUGUUGUCUUUUUUUUUUUUUUAUUAUUAUUAUUCAUUUAUACUUUUGGCCUCCACGACAUCCUGUGGCAAUAAGUUCCACAAUGUAAUUAUGUGUUGUGUGAAAAAGUACUUCCUUUUGUCUGCUUUAGGCCUGGCUCCUGAACAUUUCUCUCCGUGAUCCUUCGCUCUUGUGUUGUGAAGGAAAUGGAAAAGAAUUCCAGCUCCAUACCAGACCUCUCUUGACCUCUUCAGACUUCUCUGUCUUUGUUUGUCCCAAGGUUUUGUUCUUCCAAAUUGGAGCUCCUUGUUUUUCUAGCCUUUCUUCCUCAUAUGGUAUCUAUCCCAUUACUUCCACUGUCCUUACCGCCCUCCUCCACGUCUCUUCUCAUUUUAUUAUUGCCUUUUUUUGAGAUAAGAUCACUGAACUGAGACUUGAUCACUCCUGAAGACACGAAUUCAUUCUGCUGGAAGAAGGUCAGCUCAAAAGGUUUUUUUUCCUAAAGUCACUCUUGUGUAGUUCAGUUUCUUCUACAACACGUACAGUCUCAGGCUUAAUGGAAAUACAUAUGCAGCUCUCUUCAAACACUUGGAUUUGACCUAUUCUGAGCAAACCUCCAGUCCUAGUUUAACUAGAGCCUGUGGGUUAAUGUGACAUCCACAAGUAGAUCAACUAAUGGGUCUGGUUUACACGAAGGGAAUGUCAUGUAUGUGCUUAUAUUACUGCUCAUUUAUUCCUGCACAAAUCCCCUGUGCACUACUGGUGGAGAAGGCCCACAGCCAGAACAGCUGAGCUGGUGAGCCUGAAACUCGGGAGUCUCUAAUUUCCAGAACAUCUUUAUUUAUAAAAUAUGUCUAUUGUUGCUCCUGUCAUGCCUGCAAAACGAGCCUUCCUAUUUUAGUCAUCCCUGCCCUUUAUUAUUGUUUGUGUUGCCCCAAACCUCACAAAUGGGGCAGGAGAAUGGGUUUUGUCUCCCGCUGCCGUGUGAAUUUCAGAAACCACACUAGCCAGUCCUUCCAGACCUUGCUGCUAGGAUGGCUUGAUCAUACUUGCAGAUACAACCGGUCCUCACUUGAUGGGAACCAGUUGCUGGUGUCUUGCACUGCUCCUGAAUAAAUAUUGUCCCAGGAUUGUGCUGCAGAUUUUUAAAACUCCACUUUUGGCAGUAGCUUAGCAGCCACAUCCUUCCCUCACAACACACCAGCUCCUCUCCUGCUUCUCAAAGCAGCUUCAUCCCCCUUGCCCACCGUGUGCCUUGGGCGAGUUUCCCACAGCAGGGAGACAGCCCAGACUUGUGUAAAGGAUGGAGAAGUCUCUGGGAGAGUAGGAUAAACUUGAGGAGUUUAUCAGAUCGUGGCCCCUAAAUGAUAAGCUGGAAGAAUAUGUACGUUGUUAUACUAUCAGCAGCAGUGGGAAUGAGCAGGGGUAGAGAGAAUGUAGGAGGGAAAAAUUGCUUUUCCUAUUCCUUUACAGUAUUAUUAUGGCUUUUUAUGCAGAUAUCUGCUCUGGAAGGAGUAUCCCACACACCCUCAGCUCCCAGAACUUUGAAAUCACGAGGCAGAACAUAUUUUAGGGUGGGAAAGAGGAAGGAGAGGUUACUGGGUGUGCUGCUUCUGUGCAGAAUCACCCCUGUCACAGUGGUAGAAGGAUAAAUCCUCACCAGGUUUCAUCCUGGUUUAACUCUUCUUGUUUGUGGGAGUAAUUUUAAAAUCCUUAUUUCCCAAAGAAUUGAGGCUGACACCAUCAAGCUCACAGCAUCUGUCUUUCCCCAGAUCCUGCCUCUUACCUCCUACAACCUCAGGAAGUGCUGAACUUGCUGGUCUGUUUCAAAGAAAACAAACAGAGGAAUAAAGGUCCAAGAGCUAAAUAAAUCUCUGCAGGAAUAAUGAAAAUUGGCAGCAAGGUAAAGCAGAGAGAUCCUACAAGCCUCUGCACUGAGGGUGUCCGCCCUCUGCUAGACACCAGGUGUGAAUUUGUAGGAAGCUGGGUUACAUCUGUUUUGCCAAUCAUGAAACAACAAAACAUUUGGAAGGAGGUUUAUUCAUUUUCCAAUUCAGCUUGGAAAUUGCAGCAGGAUGCGUGUUCCCAACAUAGAAUGGAAAAACUGUGAUGUGAAUUCAUGUUGUUUCUCUCCCAAUUGGGUAGAGAAUGACCCAAUUAUAGGGCAAGAUUCAGGUCGAGCUCUCAGCCAAGCAUGAGACAGAAACCCACAGGAAACAAAGUUUCAUCAAUUAAUCAUAGUGCUGGCAGGACUUUUUUCCUCCACUGAAAUAGUUAAUACACCUUCCAUCGUGGACACAACUAUACUGGUGCUCCAACCCAGUUGCAUCAGGAGGGCAUAGUUCGCUGCCACUUUGCAAGCCCUCAGCUCCCAAGAGGAACUUUUGGGAAUUCCUAAGACAAACAUUCAGGCUCAGGCAGCUGAUCGGGACCUGCCAAGCUGCAGAGCUCAGGGAGUUACAGCCCUUUCUGAGGGAAGCUACUGCUCUUCAGCAGUAACUCACUGUCUGAACCCUCUUAUUCUGCUGUAGUGCAAAACAAAGCAUGGUGAGAAGGUGUGGGAGCUGGAUCUCUUUUAAAGCAGCUGAAUGGCAGCGUAACUGCCAGGGAUCCAUACUCGUUCAACUGCUAUUGCAAUAAAGAAAAAAAUUAGUGCCUUUAUACCAACGCAGAAGUUGUGUGCAGAGAUGAGCCCUUGGACACAGCCUGUGCUAAUGGGGAUAAUCACUGAAUCUACGCACUUGGGUGAACCUAUGCAGUUCAUACUGAUCACGGACAGGCAUGGAUUCAGUCCAAGAGAUCACAGGGAUGGAACCCAAAGCAAGCUGAACCCCUUUGCCCAUCUUCCCUGAAAAUUCCAGUCACGAUGCCAUGAUUUAAAAGACAGCGUUGGAUGCGUGCUUCCCUCACAGCUAUUUUAUCCUAGAUUUUUAGAGAAUGUGUACCUUAAGCACUGGGAAAUUCACCAAAAUAAAAAACAGAAAUGGAAAACUAAAAGGUGGUGUACUUAGGGAGGUGGGUAAAUAGGCAUUCAGGACAAAACAGCCCGCAAAUCCCCUAAAUAAAAUGGAUUUUAUCAAGCCAGUUGUCCUCCUUUCCCUGCAGCACAUCUUCUCGUGUACCUGAAAGAAACAGGCUGCGUAAAGCGCAUGAAAGAUUUAUCAGUCUCGGUCAGACGUGCUCUGCGCCCGGGAAACCCCAUCUCGGUAAAUCCAUCUCCCUCACGUUCCCGUGGCGCUAUCGGGAGAAAGGGCCGCUGCGAGACGCGCGUGGCCGUGCCCCCCCCCCGCGAGAUUAUCCCGAUUAGUACUUCUUUGGGAUGCUUCU